Non-coding RNA from Caerostris darwini, 106 nucleotides. The record is from the annotation of a GenBank genome assembly. Lineage: Eukaryota; Metazoa; Arthropoda; Arachnida; Araneae; Araneidae.
AACGGCCGUACCAUGCUGAAUAUACCGGUUCUCGUUAGAUCACCAUAAAAUCAUUGGGCGCGGUCAGUACUUGGGUGGUGACCACCUGGGAACACUGCGUGCCGUU